UACAGAGGGUGCAAGCGUUAAUCGGAAUUACUGGGCGUAAAGCGCGCGUAGGUGGUUUGUUAAGUUGGAUGUGAAAGCCCCGGGCUCAACCUGGGAACUGCAUUCAAAACUGACAAGCUAGAGUAUGGUAGAGGGUGGUGGAAUUUCCUGUGUAGCGGUGAAAUGCGUAGAUAUAGGAAGGAACACCAGUGGCGAAGGCGGCUACCUGGCCCAAUACUGACACUCAGGUGCGACAGCGUGGGGAGCAAACAGG
RNAcentral lists this ribosomal RNA (253 nucleotides) under uncultured bacterium. RNAcentral's name for it is "partial 16S ribosomal RNA". It matches the Rfam family "Bacterial small subunit ribosomal RNA", at positions 524 to 776 of the family's 1533-position model. The record is from RNAcentral.